CCGGAGGAGGCGAGCGCUGGGGACGCAGCACCUGCCCCGCGCGGCCGAGAGGCGGCAGCCCCAGGUCCCCAGCGCGCGAAAUUAGUAAAGGGCGCCUGGCCCGAUUCUCAGGCAAGAGGAGAUUAUCAGCCGGAUUCCCGUGCGGGGACGUAGGGGUUGCGUUGUUCAGCGGCCAGGGAUGCGCCGAGGCGAUGUCUCCUCCCUUUACAACCCGAGUAUCGGGGCACGAGGAGGCGCGACCUUCCUGGAAGUGGCUCCCUUCGCCGCAACUCCACACCUCGGGGUAACCGUAGAGAUUGGCAGCAAUGCCCCAGCCCCUCACCAGCACUGUGCAAAGUGACUUUGACAGGCAGAGAAAAGCCAACCCAGUCGAAUUCGUCUGGAAAGCAUUCCAGCAACCCAGAGAGGAGCCUCUGUUUCUCUCUCUGGGAAAAAGCCCCAAGGGUUUUGCUGAACCCAGGUCUUCCUGCUCAUCUCUCAGCAGUUCAGAGCUACAUAAACAACUUCUGACCAUUUACGCAAUCAUGUAAACCUACCCUGACAUCUCCACUAUGUGGAAAAGAUGUUAACUGGAAAACUAUUUUUAAACUACUGCAGUAAGCAAAUAAACAUCCAACUCCAACAUAUAUAUGCAGCAGCCUUAUUAGUUCAUUCAGUGUUGGUUUGGUUUGUUUGUUUUGUCUUCUGCUUUUUAGAAUUAAUUAUUAUCUUUAUAAUUCCUGUUCGAGAAGUGGGCAAAACCAGGCUAGUGAUAGGUAUUGUUGUGGUCAAAUUUUUCAUCACUUGAAAUUCCAUGACUUUCAUGAUUGCUGAGAUUAAUGCUAAAUAAAGAAGUUACCCCCCCGCCCCCACCCCACCCCAACCUCCCCACCAAAGUUUCCUGAUUACUUAAACUUGGAGAGAAAUUUUCAGGCUUUUUCCUCCCUCCUUGCCUGGUAUGUGUCUGUAAUAGAGGUACUUUUGCAAAACUGGAAUGUUGGUGAUGCAGGUGUUUUCCAUGGUAAACAGCCACUGAGGAUCAAUGGUUCCCAGGUUCCCACUCACUUUGAAGGCUUUUGUGCUUCUGCCGGAACUGUGACUUUUACUACCUGUACUAUGUAUGAUUUUUUUUUACAUUGAUUAUUUCUCUGCAACUAGUCAAUUAAAAGUACAUAUAUAUAACUUUUAGUAAGACUGUUUAUCAAA
RNAcentral lists this long non-coding RNA (1185 nucleotides) under Homo sapiens (human). RNAcentral's name for it is "HSALNT0050225". The record is from RNAcentral. Lineage: Eukaryota; Metazoa; Chordata; Mammalia; Primates; Hominidae.